GGGCUCAUGGUUUAGUGGCUUGCGACUAAUAAAAGUCGUCCAUGAAUGACAGCGCCCUUACAAGGCGUUAAUCCCCGGUUCGAGUCCGGGUGGGCCCACCA
RNAcentral lists this transfer RNA (101 nucleotides) under Candidatus Woesearchaeota archaeon. RNAcentral's name for it is "tRNA-Val". It matches the Rfam family "tRNA". From Rfam's summary of the family: Transfer RNA (tRNA) molecules are approximately 80 nucleotides in length. Their secondary structure includes four short double-helical elements and three loops (D, anti-codon, and T loops). Lineage: Archaea; Nanobdellati; Candidatus Woesearchaeota. The record is from RNAcentral.